RNAcentral lists this ribosomal RNA (869 nucleotides) under human gut metagenome. RNAcentral describes it as "bacterial SSU rRNA". It matches the Rfam family "Bacterial small subunit ribosomal RNA", at positions 8 to 884 of the family's 1533-position model. The record is from RNAcentral.
AGGGUUCGAUUCUGGCUCAGGAUGAACGCUGGCGGCGUGCUUAACACAUGCAAGUCGAACGGGAUCCAUCAAGCUUGCUUGGUGGUGAGAGUGGCGAACGGGUGAGUAAUGCGUGACCGACCUGCCCCAUACACCGGAAUAGCUCCUGGAAACGGGUGGUAAUGCCGGAUGCUCCGACUCCUCGCAUGGGGUGUCGGGAAAGAUUUCAUCGGUAUGGGAUGGGGUCGCGUCCUAUCAGGUAGUCGGCGGGGUAACGGCCCACCGAGCCUACGACGGGUAGCCGGCCUGAGAGGGCGACCGGCCACAUUGGGACUGAGAUACGGCCCAGACUCCUACGGGAGGCAGCAGUGGGGAAUAUUGCACAAUGGGCGCAAGCCUGAUGCAGCGACGCCGCGUGCGGGAUGACGGCCUUCGGGUUGUAAACCGCUUUUGAUCGGGAGCAAGCCUUCGGGUGAGUGUACCUUUCGAAUAAGCACCGGCUAACUACGUGCCAGCAGCCGCGGUAAUACGUAGGGUGCAAGCGUUAUCCGGAAUUAUUGGGCGUAAAGGGCUCGUAGGCGGUUCGUCGCGUCCGGUGUGAAAGUCCAUCGCUUAACGGUGGAUCUGCGCCGGGUACGGGCGGGCUGGAGUGCGGUAGGGGAGACUGGAAUUCCCGGUGUAACGGUGGAAUGUGUAGAUAUCGGGAAGAACACCAAUGGCGAAGGCAGGUCUCUGGGCCGUUACUGACGCUGAGGAGCGAAAGCGUGGGGAGCGAACAGGAUUAGAUACCCUGGUAGUCCACGCCGUAAACGGUGGAUGCUGGAUGUGGGGCCCGUUCCACGGGUUCCGUGUCGGAGCUAACGCGUUAAGCAUCCCGCCUGGGGAGUACG